UGGGGAAUUUUGGACAAUGGGCGAAAGCCUGAUCCAGCAAUGCCGCGUGUGUGAAGAAGGCCUUCGGGUUGUAAAGCACUUUUGUCCGGAAAGAAAUCCUUGGCUCUAAUACAGUCGGGGGAUGACGGUACCGGAAGAAUAAGCACCGGCUAACUACGUGCCAGCAGCCGCGGUAAUACGUAGGGUGCAAGCGUUAAUCGGAAUUACUGGGCGUAAAGCGUGCGCAGGCGGUUUGCUAAGACCGAUGUGAAUCCCCGGGCUCAACCUGGGAACUGCAUUGGUGACUGGCAGGCUAGAGUAUGGCAGAGGGGGGUAGAAUUCCACGUGUAGCAGUGAAAUGCGUAGAGAUGUGGAGGAAUACCGAUGGCGAAGGCAGCCCCCUGGGCCAAUACUGACGCUCAUGCACGAAAGCGUGGGGAGCAAACAGGAUUAGAUACCCUGGUAGUCCACGCCCUAAAACGAUGUCAACUAGUUGUUGGGGAUUCAUUUCCUUAGUAACGUAGCUAACGCGUGAAGUUGACCGCCUGGGGAGUACGGUCGCAAGAUUAAAACUUAAAUGAAUUG
RNAcentral lists this ribosomal RNA (564 nucleotides) under uncultured bacterium. RNAcentral's name for it is "partial 16S ribosomal RNA". It matches the Rfam family "Bacterial small subunit ribosomal RNA", at positions 355 to 912 of the family's 1533-position model. The record is from RNAcentral.